GCCUGGGCUGUGUGUCCGCCGGGCGCUACUGCAUGAGCUCAUCCCCUGGCUCCAGGCGUGGGCAGCGUGGCCAGCGUGGCCUCUGGUGAACGCGAUGCUCCAGCUCCCAAGGCCCGAGCCCACCUGUGCCUGGCGCUUGCCGCCUCCACAAUGGCGUGUGCCUGUGGGCCGGCUCAGUCCCAGCAGCAGGACCCAUGCACU
RNAcentral lists this long non-coding RNA (201 nucleotides) under Homo sapiens (human). Its description in RNAcentral is "HSALNT0117834". The record is from RNAcentral. Lineage: Eukaryota; Metazoa; Chordata; Mammalia; Primates; Hominidae.